Molecule: ribosomal RNA, 253 nt
Filed under: uncultured bacterium
Lineage: Bacteria
Description: partial 16S ribosomal RNA
Rfam family: Bacterial small subunit ribosomal RNA
Source: RNAcentral
UACGUAGGGUGUAAGCGUUAAUCGGAAUUACUGGGCGUAAAGCGUGCGCAGGCGGUUGUGCAAGACAGAUGUGAAAUCCCCGGGCUCAACCUGGGAAUUGCAUUUGUGACUGCACGGCUAGAGUGUGUCAGAGGGGGGUAGAAUUCCACGUGUAGCAGUGAAAUGCGUAGAGAUGUGGAGGAAUACCGAUGGCGAAGGCAGCCCCCUGGGAUAACACUGACGCUCAUGCGCGAAAGCGUGGGGAGCAAACAGG